Molecule: ribosomal RNA, 301 nt
Filed under: uncultured bacterium
Lineage: Bacteria
Description: partial 16S ribosomal RNA
Rfam family: Bacterial small subunit ribosomal RNA
Source: RNAcentral
CAGCAGCCGCGGUAAUACGAAGGGUGCAAGCGUUAAUCGGAAUUACUGGGCGUAAAGCGUGCGUAGGCGGUGAGUUAAGUCUGCUGUGAAAUCCCCGGGCUCAACCUGGGAAUGGCAGUGGAUACUGGCUCGCUAGAGUGUGUCAGAGGAUGGUGGAAUUCCCGGUGUAGCGGUGAAAUGCGUAGAGAUCGGGAGGAACAUCAGUGGCGAAGGCGGCCAUCUGGGACAACACUGACGCUGAGGCACGAAAGCGUGGGGAGCAAACAGGAUUAGAGACCCCCGUAGUCCCUGUCUCUUAUAC